CUUUGAAACACCGGCUCCCGUUCGAUCAACUAAGUUAAGCAAUGUUGGGACUGCGCAGUACCAAGAUGAGUGACCCCUACGGAAUAUAAGAUGCUGUAAG
This is a non-coding RNA of Acanthosepion pharaonis, 100 nucleotides long. The record is from the annotation of a GenBank genome assembly. Lineage: Eukaryota; Metazoa; Mollusca; Cephalopoda; Sepiida; Sepiidae.